Molecule: long non-coding RNA, 527 nt
Organism: Neopelma chrysocephalum (saffron-crested tyrant-manakin)
Lineage: Eukaryota; Metazoa; Chordata; Aves; Passeriformes; Pipridae
Exons: 3
Source: RefSeq, a predicted model, not a curated record
AGUAAACUUGGAAAGCACAACACCGAAAAGAUCUUGCCUUGAACUCAGUCAGGACUCCAUUUUCACUGUGGACUCCCAGAUUGCUUUCUGCCAUAAGCACAACCAGCAUUAUACCAACAGCUUUCUUUAGUGACCUUAAGUCAGUUGGUGCUGAAGGUAUCAGUGAAAAACGACUUCCCUGCAAAGCAGAUAUGUUCCUCCCAGCUCCUACAGAGAUACAAAAACUGAACAGAGCAUGAUGGCAAGAAAAAGGAAAGAUGGAAAGGCAGAGGGGAAGGCAAAGGUGAAAGCUCAAGAGAAGACAUCCUCGCUUCUCUCUGCAUCUUUUCUUUCCUGAACCUUCACUUUCCCCCCACCCCUUUCAACACUUCAUUAUUCACAAGUCCCACUUGUGCUUUUAUCAUCCCUUGGUACCAUUAUCUUUGAAGAGAUGAGGAAAAUUUAUAUCUGCAGGUCCACUAAUUUAUGGUCAAAAAUGCUUCUGUACAAAGUUUCUCUAUUUGCACAUUAAUAGAUAUGUAUGCACA